This 858-nucleotide long non-coding RNA is filed under the name Anser brachyrhynchus (Pink-footed goose). RNAcentral describes it as "lncRNA (ENSABRG00000022648.1)". The record is from RNAcentral. Lineage: Eukaryota; Metazoa; Chordata; Aves; Anseriformes; Anatidae.
UGGGGCCUGAAUUCCCUUCUCCCAGAGUAAAAUAUACUCUUCGAAUGGCAAUGCUAGUGUAGGUUGGCCAUCCGUAGCUGAGCCUUGGCCUCCUCCUGCAGAACCACAUGCAACCUGCCCUUGUCCUCAGCAGAUACAAAACCCUCUGUGCAGGUCUAUUAACUUAAUCAUAUUUAAAUACAUUCUUGGUAAGUAUUUAAAAUGUGUUCAUUUCCAUUCCCUUGAGCUGUACCGUUUUUGUAAUUAUAUUAAUGCUCUUCUCAGUGUUUGGAGAAUGGAAACCAAGUGGUUUGUCACCUUUUUUUUCCAGUCGGAUUUGCUUUCAGAUGGCUGUGCUUUUGGGUUAAAACCACUGAAGAAGGAUGUUUCUUUCCAGUGUUUCUCAGGGAGAUUUAAUUGCAGGAAUGCACUGUUAACUUAUGCUAAUAUUACCUUUGGCAGAAACACUGUUCCCUUUUAAUACAUACAGUCCAAAAGGGCAGAACAAGUUGGAUGAACUGACCAAACUCUAUUUUUCUGUUUCUGUCAGGCUGCUGUGUGUGGAGGAUGAUUUCACUGAUAAGAAGUCCCCAAGUGAUCUGUCACGGUGUCUGGGAAUAUUGCUCAGCAGUUGGCUGGUGUGGCUAAAGGGGAAGUGCAGCGAUUCAGAUAAAUGGGAUUCCUUCCAAAGCAGGAUGUUCUUCAAGUCUGAGCUACAGCCAACAUCUGUGGACAACACUCUUUGUUCCUAUUUUUAGCAGCCUAAAUAGGAGACAGCUCUCCCCUGAAGGGCAUGAGGAAGGAUUCCCUCUUGCUUUACCUCCAGCAACCAACCGCAAAAGCAGAAACAAGGAGACAAUAAAGUUCUCCAAAUCCCCA